This is a non-coding RNA of Lactuca sativa (garden lettuce), 717 nucleotides long. The record is from RefSeq and is a predicted model, not a curated record. NCBI's taxonomy places the organism in Eukaryota, Viridiplantae, Streptophyta, Magnoliopsida, Asterales, Asteraceae.
AUCCCCAUCUCUGGAUAAACCUUCAUCGACGACGUGUUGCUUCCCUCGUCGACAGCGUAUUGCUUCUUUCACCAACAACAUCUAUUGCUCCACCUCAGUUCAGAAACGUGGUGCCCUUCACCACCAAAUAUUACUAUCACCAACACCUGUUGCUUUCAUCACCGGAAACAUCUCUAACCUAACGUCAUCUGCUACCUCCCAUCAAACCACCACCACCACCCACUCCCGCCUGCCAACACCACAACACCAUCUGAUGAGCGAUCAACAUUUGAUGAAAAUCUAGGGCAACGAUUUGGAUAUCAUUGAAGAUUUUGAAAAAGCUAGGGUUUGAUGUUUUUCUGUUUUUGUUUACGUUUUCAUCCAUAUGAUUUUUUUUUUCGUUGCAUGCUUUCAGCUUUCGCGUCAUCUGCAUUCACCACCAUCAAAACCCUACUCUGCCGCCUACGUUUCUUUUCUAAGAAGGUUACAUAUAGGAACCAAACUACAAAAGAGAAGAAUGUUGAUGACCCUAUACGUUGCUUCCAUUGACUACUUGAAGCAGACACAAUUCUUACACUCAGAAUGGAAAUAUGAAGAUAAUAUAAGACAACAGAAGGCAUAAAUAUUUUACAUUCGAGAGUAAUUAUAUUUUUGUUUGAAAAAAAUAUGCUUAUUUUUAUUUCUUUCUAAUAACAUUCAUUCACUCUUUAGUCACCAUUAAUGGUUGUUUUUUUUCUA